GAUGAACGCUGGCGGCGUGCUUAACACAUGCAAGUCGAACGGGAAACCUUUUAAUGAAGCUUCGGCAGAUUUCGCUGGUUUCUAGUGGCGGACGGGUGAGUAACGCGUGGGUAACCUGCCUUAUACAGGGGGAUAACAGUCAGAAAUGACUGCUAAUACCGCAUAAGCGCACAGGACCGCAUGGUCCGGUGUGAAAAACUCCGGUGGUAUAAGAUGGACCCGCGUUGGAUUAGCUUGUUGGUGGGGUAACGGCUCACCAAGGCGACGAUCCAUAGCCGGCCUGAGAGGGUGAACGGCCACAUUGGGACUGAGACACGGCCCAGACUCCUACGGGAGGCAGCAGUGGGGAAUAUUGCACAAUGGGGGAAACCCUGAUGCAGCGACGCCGCGUGAAGGAAGAAGUAUCUCGGUAUGUAAACUUCUAUCAGCAGGGAAGAUAGUGACGGUACCUGACUAAGAAGCCCCGGCUAACUACGUG
RNAcentral lists this ribosomal RNA (478 nucleotides) under uncultured bacterium. Its description in RNAcentral is "partial 16S ribosomal RNA". It matches the Rfam family "Bacterial small subunit ribosomal RNA", at positions 28 to 507 of the family's 1533-position model. The record is from RNAcentral.